Molecule: long non-coding RNA, 550 nt
Organism: Suricata suricatta (meerkat)
Lineage: Eukaryota; Metazoa; Chordata; Mammalia; Carnivora; Herpestidae
Exons: 3
Source: RefSeq, a predicted model, not a curated record
GCCAGGUUUUUUUACUAAAUUACAGGCUACGUGGUGCAAGUCAGCAUCUCUGCGAGCGUCCUCCAGGACCUGAGAACCACAGAGACGUAACAGAGAGGUCCUGAAGACAAAAUAGCUAAAUGAUUGUCAGCAAGACCAGGCAAUCCUGUGAACUAAAUGGGGGAAAUGCCUAAAAGCUGUGACUCCUUACUCACCUUCCUGGCUUGUUCUUGUAAAUGUUGGAUUUGCUCAGCUAUGACUGUCAGCUUGUUGGUGGCAUUUGCUCGGAUGAAUUCGUCAGCCUACAGCCUCUCCACAGCAGUCAGCUCCCACCCGGCCCAAAGAGCCCUGCUCACGAGAAGCCCACGCUGCCAGGACCCCACACCGCAGGACUGAGUCCUUCUUUUCUACGUCCCAGCGCUUUCUACCCUCUGGAUUCCAGUCGCUCGGAACUGCUUCAGCCCUCCAACAUGCUCUGCUCUCACAUGCUACCACACGCACGAAUGUGCCCUCUCCUCAACAAAAAGGCUUCCCUCUUACUCUUUGCCCGAGUAAACCAGCUCUCCAUUUA